UGCAAAUUCAUUCAUUUUAAAUGUCAGUUCUGAUUGGAUCCCACCAUUCCAGCUGCAGUAUCUUGAAAUAGGUUCGUGCCAUCUUGGUCCUUUGUUUCCUGAGUGGCUUAGAUCACAAAAGGAGUUGGAAUAUCUACAUUUCCCAGAUGCCAGUGUUUCAGGUUCAAUACCAGAAUGGUUUUGGGAAAUGUCAGGCAACCUAUCCGUGUUGAA
RNAcentral lists this unclassified non-coding RNA (213 nucleotides) under Hevea brasiliensis (rubber tree). The record is from RNAcentral. Lineage: Eukaryota; Viridiplantae; Streptophyta; Magnoliopsida; Malpighiales; Euphorbiaceae.